GAGUUUGAUCAUGGCUCAGGACGAACGCUGGCGGCGUGCCUAAUACAUGCAAGUCGAGCGGAGUUGAAUAAGUGCUUGCACUAAUUCAACUUAGCGGCGAACGGGUGAGUAACACGUAAAGAACCUGCCUCAUAGACUGGGACAACUACUGGAAACGGUAGCUAAUACCGGAUAACAUAUUUUACUGCAUGGUAAAAUAUUGAAAGUCGGUCAUGCUGACACUAUGAGAUGGCUUUGCGGUGCAUUAGCUAGUUGGUAGGGUAAAGGCCUACCAAGGCGACGAUGCAUAGCCGACCUGAGAGGGUGAUCGGCCACACUGGGACUGAGACACGGCCCAGACUCCUACGGGAGGCAGCAGUAGGGAAUCUUCCGCAAUGGACGAAAGUCUGACGGAGCAACGCCGCGUGAGUGAAGAAGGAUUUCGGUUCGUAAAACUCUGUUGUUAGGGAAGAAUGAUUGUAUAGUAACUAUAUACAGUAGAGACGUACCUAACCAGAAAGCCACG
This 505-nucleotide ribosomal RNA is filed under the name Gemelliphila palaticanis. RNAcentral's name for it is "bacterial SSU rRNA". It matches the Rfam family "Bacterial small subunit ribosomal RNA", at positions 9 to 495 of the family's 1533-position model. The record is from RNAcentral. Lineage: Bacteria; Bacillati; Bacillota; Bacilli; Caryophanales; Gemellaceae.